Small nucleolar RNA from Camelus dromedarius (Arabian camel), 79 nucleotides. Lineage: Eukaryota; Metazoa; Chordata; Mammalia; Artiodactyla; Camelidae. The record is from Ensembl.
GAUUAUUGAUGAAAAUAGCCAGGUCUGAACAUCAGAUGACCUUCUAGUUUCCCUGAUGCAUGAUCUCUGUAGUCUGAGA